RNAcentral lists this ribosomal RNA (468 nucleotides) under uncultured bacterium. RNAcentral describes it as "partial 16S ribosomal RNA". It matches the Rfam family "Bacterial small subunit ribosomal RNA", at positions 28 to 507 of the family's 1533-position model. The record is from RNAcentral.
GACGAACGCUGGCGGCGUGCUUAACACAUGCAAGUCGAACGGAAAGGCCCUGCUUUUGUGGGGUGCUCGAGUGGCGAACGGGUGAGUAACACGUGAGUAACCUGCCCUUGACUUUGGGAUAACUUCAGGAAACUGGGGCUAAUACCGGAUAGGAGCUCCUGCUGCAUGGUGGGGGUUGGAAAGUUUCGGCGGUUGGGGAUGGACUCGCGGCUUAUCAGCUUGUUGGUGGGGUAGUGGCUUACCAAGGCUUUGACGGGUAGCCGGCCUGAGAGGGUGACCGGCCACAUUGGGACUGAGAUACGGCCCAGACUCCUACGGGAGGCAGCAGGGGGGAAUAUUGCACAAUGGGCGGAAGCCUGAUGCAGCAACGCCGCGUGCGGGAUAACGGCCUUCGGGUUGUAAACCGCUUUCGCCUGUGACGAAGCGUGAGUGACGGUAAUGGGUAAAGAAGCACCGGCUAACUACGUG